RNAcentral lists this ribosomal RNA (220 nucleotides) under uncultured bacterium. RNAcentral describes it as "partial 16S ribosomal RNA". It matches the Rfam family "Bacterial small subunit ribosomal RNA", at positions 524 to 743 of the family's 1533-position model. The record is from RNAcentral.
GACAGAGGGUGCAAACGUUUGUUCGGAAUUACUGGGCGUAAAGCGCGUGUAGGCGGCUAAGUAAGUCGGGCGUGAAACCCACGGCUCAACCGUGGAAGUGCACUCGAAACUGCAUAGCUAGAGUCCUGGAGAGGAAGGUGGAAUGCUUGGUGUAGAGGUGAAAUUCGUAGAUAUCAAGCGGAACACCGGUGGCGAAGGCGGCCUUCUGGACAGUGACUGA